This is an RNA transcript of Fopius arisanus, 1042 nucleotides long. RefSeq lists it as uncharacterized. Lineage: Eukaryota; Metazoa; Arthropoda; Insecta; Hymenoptera; Braconidae. The record is from RefSeq and is a predicted model, not a curated record. The transcript has 7 exons.
UACGUGCUGUAGUCCUGAUGCUGCUACUAUCCACCAUUCCCAGAUUAUCUAUUGCGAAUCAGGCCGUCUUAUUAUUUCCGAAGACUACUUUCUUCCAAUUUACAGUUGGCAUUACUGUUCCCUUCAUCACUAGCAAAAGGGGGAACAUCGUCACAAAUUUUGGAUUUCAAUUCAACUACGCCCUACCAUGGAAUCUGAGCCAACUUCAUGAACCCGGGGUCAUACCUGCCAGAAAAAAUCAUUUCGAUCUUCGCACCGCAUAUUCUGCUAUCGAACAAUUGCUCGAUACGUAUGGCUGGAGGAAUGGCAAGGAGUGCCUUCUGAGGAGCAUCUGUGAGCUAGCUGAGACGCCUCUGGGUGAAACCGACCGAGACAUCCUCCAGGAAGUAAUUCACUUGUUCCUAACGCCAACGGUAGAUUUACCAGAGGUGGGUAAUUCCACUCACCAGAGCGUAGACAAAUCGUAUCACGAAGCCGAACUAUUGGGGAAAUCUGGUGGUGACUGUACCCUGACUUAUCCCAAUUGCCCCGAAUCACCACUCAAGUCAUUCACAAAGAUAUCCCUCACCUCCGACUGACUCCAAAAUUCACACCCCUUGGAGUUUAGCAUACUGAUUUUCGAGACAAUAAGCCAUUGAAUCCGAGUUAUAAGCUGGAGCAGGAGACACCCUCACGUCAAAACUUGCACGUAGCAUCUUCCUUUUGUUCCUCAUCUUGUGAGUGUCGUGUGCACGUUACAGCAUCUGCUGUCACCUCGGCUUCGCUCAUCUUCUUGAUAUGUCAACGACAAAAUCAAGUAAUCCCUGAGGUUUCUGGGUAUCGUGAGACAGCAAGAUGAUACUCAUUAGUUUCUUGCUCAUUGGCUUAUACAGCGGAUGGGGAUGUGGCGAAACGAUGGCCAACGAGGAACUUCUGUAUCCACCACCUCUAGUCUACCCAUUUGGAGGUACCAUCAAGUUUCAGUAUGCACUACCCCAGAAUGCAACAUUCUUCACAGACUAUUUCACAUCAUUAACUAAACGACGGAGAAGGUCAACAAGCG